Non-coding RNA from Trichonephila clavipes, 70 nucleotides. Lineage: Eukaryota; Metazoa; Arthropoda; Arachnida; Araneae; Nephilidae. The record is from the annotation of a GenBank genome assembly.
ACACUGAAGUGCAAUGGAUAGCUCGUUGGACCAAAUCCAAAGGUCGUGGGUUCGAAUCCCACCCGGGGUG